AUUGAACGCUGGCGGCAUGCCUUAAACAUGCAAGUCGAACCGUAACAGGUCUUCGGAUGCUGACGAGUGGCGAACGGGUGAGUAAUACAUCGGAACGUGCCUAGCAGUGGGGGAUAGCUACUCGAAAGAGUUGCUAAUACCGCAUGAGAUCUACGGAUGAAAGCAGGGGAUCGCAAGACCUACUGCUACUAUAGCGUCCGGUGGCAGAUUAGGUAGUUGUUGGGAUACAAGCUUACCAAGCCGACGAUCUGUAGCUGGUCUGCGAGGACGAUCAGCCACACUGGGACUGAGACACGGCCCAGACUCCUACGGGAGGCAGCAGUGGGGAAUUUUGGACAAUGGGCGAAAGCCUGAUCCAGCAAUGCCGCGUGCAGGAUGAAGGCCUUCGGGUUGUAAACUGCUUUUGUACGGAACGAAAAGCCCCGGGUUAAUACCCUGGGGUCAUGACGGUACCGUAAGAAUAAGCACCGGCUAACUACGUGCCAGCAGCCGCGGUAA
RNAcentral lists this ribosomal RNA (498 nucleotides) under uncultured bacterium. RNAcentral describes it as "partial 16S ribosomal RNA". It matches the Rfam family "Bacterial small subunit ribosomal RNA", at positions 30 to 523 of the family's 1533-position model. The record is from RNAcentral.